GGAGUGUGAGAGCUAGGUGGGCUGGGGGCUUGGGGUGAUGUGAAUGAGGAGAAACAGUGGGGAGCUGCCAAGAGUGAUGGGCUCCAGCACCCCCGGGUGAUUUUCACACAGAAAGGAAGGUGGCCACCCUGCCAGCAUGUACAGACAUGGCUGGAUCCACCCUCUA
This 166-nucleotide small RNA is filed under the name Vulpes vulpes (red fox). RNAcentral describes it as "Pvt1 onco conserved region 1 (ENSVVUG00000007741.1)". The record is from RNAcentral. Lineage: Eukaryota; Metazoa; Chordata; Mammalia; Carnivora; Canidae.